AGCUUUGCACAGUGGCAGUAUCGUAGCCAAUUGAGGUUUAUCCGAGGCAUGAUUAUUGCUAAUUCAAAGAAAUUCUAUCUGAACUUUAUUAGACAUCCCUGGUAUAUAAACCUUCUUUUCACUCUAAGGGAUUUGUUGUCCUAUGAGA
Molecule: small nuclear RNA, 148 nt
Organism: Mirounga angustirostris (Northern elephant seal)
Lineage: Eukaryota; Metazoa; Chordata; Mammalia; Carnivora; Phocidae
Product: U4 spliceosomal RNA
Exons: 1
Source: RefSeq, a predicted model, not a curated record